CCAUUACUCCAAGAAGAAUUUGGGCACAACUAAUUUUUUUAUUUCGUUAUGGAAACCGAAAUGAGAAUGUCUGCAUCUAAUUCAAGAAAAUGGGCAAGGCAAUGAGGACAUUGCACAAGAGAGUCCCUGAUAUCCCAGAGCUUACUGACUAAGAGAGGAUACAUCCUUCAAACUAAUAGUCUGCCAAUAGCAAGAUCCAAUAGCUUCAUGGAUAUUGAAAGAAACUGAGAAUCACAUUUGCAUACUUCUGAGUCACUUGGAAACAAAAAACAAGUACAGUCUUGGAUUCUGAGGGAACAAACAUUAAAAAUCACAUUAGGAAGAGAAUUCAUAAUGUAGGAACUCAUCCUGGAAUAUUCUUCAGCAAAAUACAGACAAUAAUAAUAAUACUCCAUGAAGCUACCGUGGAUAUUGAAUGAAUUAAUGAAUCUAAAAACCUCAAAACCCUGCCUGGCCCAGAGGCAGCCUGGAGAGCUGUGAGCAGUGCCAUAGGAGGAAAUGACUGGUGCACAGGUGGAUGACCUGGCAGGAGAUACCAUUUUGGCCAUGGAACAGUCAAGUUGUUAAGAGGACCAAGACGUCAAUGAACUAAAAGUUUCUGGGCCAGUUUAUUAGGCAAAAAUUAAAAAUAAAAAUAAUAUUUGAAAACCUAAAAUAAAUUUGAUUUCAACUUGCAUAAUCUCUCUAACUCACUGAGGUUCCAUGAAGACGGGCAGGUUUUUUUUGUUGUUGUUAUGUUCCAUGUUGUGGAGUUGUAGGUGAGGGCAAACACCCUUCAUAUGUGAUGCAAGCACAAAGCAAGCUUUAUCUAGAAAACUUAAAGGCAGAUGAUUGGCUGAAUGAUAUGUGAAAACCUCAUGCUCUCAGCCUUUUACCAAGAGGGAUGCAGGAACUAGAUCACAGCUGGAUGUACCAUGGAAUAGGUUCUAGAGAGAUCCCCAAACUUUGC
Molecule: long non-coding RNA, 949 nt
Organism: Cercocebus atys (sooty mangabey)
Lineage: Eukaryota; Metazoa; Chordata; Mammalia; Primates; Cercopithecidae
Exons: 5
Source: RefSeq, a predicted model, not a curated record